RNAcentral lists this ribosomal RNA (1965 nucleotides) under Triticum aestivum (bread wheat). RNAcentral's name for it is "partial small subunit ribosomal RNA". The record is from RNAcentral. Lineage: Eukaryota; Viridiplantae; Streptophyta; Magnoliopsida; Poales; Poaceae.
AUGCCGUCGCCGCCGCCCGAGUUAACCGCCGCCGUAGCCGGCGGCCGGAAUCUUGUCGCUGGUUGGGGCCGCGCCCAUGGAGGCUUGGGGCGGCGUAUGAAACUCGCCGGCGACGAGGUCGAGGAGCUCCUCUUCUCUCUAUUUGGUGUUGGCUCGAGCCCGAUUUGGACCGACAGGGGCGAGGCUGAUUUGGAUCUCGGCGACGACCAGGACAAAUACAUGUUGUCUGAUCCAAAUAAGAUGACCAAUGUUAAUGAAGAUGGUUCCGAUAGCAAUCCAAACUUUGUUGGAUACUCUGAGAACACCAGGAAUGAUAUAUUGCCAACACUUAAGAGGAAAACAGGAGGUUCUGGUUCUAUUGCUGCUCUUAAGGAACUACAGAUCAUGGUGAAGCGAGCAACCAAAUCAUCCUCACUUCUUGAUCUGUGCUCCAUGCUGCUCUUCCUUCGAUUGCGGCUCACCUUCUUUUGCUGCUCAGGUGAAAGGAGGCGCUGGGUGGGAGUGAACGGGAGGCCAUGCGGUACAGAUGUAGAAGAGACGGAGUCGGGCAACUACGGUUGGGGCGGCUGUGUGAGGAAGAUAGAGGGAGUCCUCGGCGUCCCUGAGGAGGCUGGUGCGUGGUCGCCGCUGCUGCGCGCCCUGGCCUUGGAGUGCACGUCCACCACGGAUCUGGAGGUGCUGAGGGCAGUGCAGUGCGACGGGCGUGCGCGCCCUGGUACGGAGGUGAGCGUCGCCAAGAGGGCGCCGCGCGGUGUGGUGGCCGUCGCUCGUCGGCCAACGUGGGCGGUCCUGACGUCGGAGUCUGCGGGCGAUAGCGGGAGGCAGAGCUUCUGUGGCUUGUGGGCUCUGCUAAGGGCUGGUGAAGCUGGCCAGUUCAGUGGCCUGGCGGCUGAGGGCUGCAGAUCGGCGGCCAUGGCGGCCUCUCUUCGCACGGUGACCGCGUCCAUGGCUCUCCGUCCGUCGAUCGCGGGGCCCUCCCUGCACGGCGACGGCGUCCCCAUCCUCUGCGUCAUCCGUGCACUACUCGCCAGUCCCUCCCCGUCGUCAGGCGAGUGCAACACCAACCGCGCCGCCGCUUCCUCGUCUCCUGGCGAUUGCGCCCCCAUCCUGAGCGCCAUCCGCUCCCUCUUCAGCUCUUCUUCGUCGUCAAGGGAGGGCAACUCCAUCCGCGAUGGCUCCCCCAUCAUGAGCGUCAUCCGCGCCCUUAUUGGUGCCUCUUCAUUGUCUGAGCUCGGGUCCUUCUCAAUCUACCAAGGGAGUGCAUAUGCAUCAAGGGAACUUGUACCAGUCUAUCAGGGGAGUGCUUACGGCUUCCGAGAGCUUGUACCUGCUUCAUACCGUAGAUUUCACCCUUGCAAGGUUCUUCCUGUGUCUCUGACAUCAAACAGGAAUUCUUCCCUCAUGCUUGUAAACAUUCUACUCGGUGCUUGGUUUGGAGGAUAUCUCUUGGCUUCAACCGAUGGUCAACCUGGUUCUUUCAUCUUGGAAAAUCUCAAGGAAAAGCUUAAACUCAUCGAAGCAGAGAUUAGGGAUCUUGAAAGAAUGAUCGAAGAAUUUGGUGAUGCAUCUGAUUUCAUGAAGUUGAUGAAACAAAAGCUUGAGCGCUUGAAGGUCUUGAAGGAAGAUCUUUUGAAGCUGCUUGAGGAUUUUCAAGCAGUGGAUGAUGUUCUGAGGAAGAUGCUGGAUGAAUUGUCUGCAGACAAGGACUUGACCAAGGAGGAUUUGGCUGUUAUAUGCAAAAAACUUAUGGAAUUGGAGGCCCCUCCAGAGAAAGAACUUCUGGAAGAAAAUCUUGACACCAUUGUGGCACUGAUCUACCUCAGUACGUACCUGAAGAGCCUCUCUGGUGGGAGAAGAACUGAGCAAUGCCUUUGGUGGGGUGGUCUCUGUGUAGCGAGUAGCAUGAAGAGCUUUUGGAAGGUACCGUGGAACGAUGAGGUAGAUUUGUCCUGUGGUAGUCAAUGA